AUCCAGUUGAUGAGUCCCAAAUAGGACGGAACGCAUGUCCUGGAU
Molecule: non-coding RNA, 45 nt
Filed under: Schistosoma mansoni
Lineage: Eukaryota; Metazoa; Platyhelminthes; Trematoda; Strigeidida; Schistosomatidae
Source: RNAcentral